Molecule: non-coding RNA, 254 nt
Filed under: uncultured bacterium
Lineage: Bacteria
Also listed under: 1 other name
Description: partial 16S ribosomal RNA
Rfam family: Bacterial small subunit ribosomal RNA
Source: RNAcentral
UACGGGGGGAGCAAGCGUUGUUCGGAUUUACUGGGCGUAAAGGGCGCGUAGGCGGCCAGCGCAAGUCAGUUGUGAAAUCUCCGAGCUUAACUCGGAAAGGUCAACUGAUACUGCGCGGCUAGAGUGCGGAAGGGGCAACUGGAAUUCUUGGUGUAGCGGUGAAAUGCGUAGAUAUCAAGAGGAACACCUGCGGCGAAGGCGGGUUGCUGGGCCGACACUGACGCUGAGGCGCGAAAGCCAGGGGAGCGAACGGG